RNAcentral lists this ribosomal RNA (379 nucleotides) under uncultured eukaryote. RNAcentral's name for it is "partial 18S ribosomal RNA". It matches the Rfam family "Eukaryotic small subunit ribosomal RNA", at positions 592 to 976 of the family's 1831-position model. The record is from RNAcentral.
CAAUAGCGUAUAUUUAAGUUGUUGCAGUUAAAAAGCUCGUAGUUGGAUUUCGGAUGGGAUUUGCCGGUCCGUCGUUACGAUGUGCACUGGCCAGUCCUAUCUUGUUGUCGGGGACUAGCUCCUUGGAUUCACUUCCUGGGACUAGGAGCUGACGAGGUUACUUUGAGUAAAUUAGAGUGUUCAAAGCAAGCCUACGCUCUGAAUACAUUAGCAUGGAAUAACACGAUAGGACUCUGGCUUAUCUUGUUGGUCUGUGAGACCAGAGUAAUGACUAAGAGGGACAGUCGGGGACAUUCGUAUUUCAUUGUCAGAGGUGAAAUUCUUGGAUUUAUGAAAGACGAACUUCUGCGAAAGCAUUUGUCAAGGAUGUUUUCAUUAA